RNAcentral lists this ribosomal RNA (594 nucleotides) under Triticum aestivum (bread wheat). RNAcentral's name for it is "partial small subunit ribosomal RNA". The record is from RNAcentral. Lineage: Eukaryota; Viridiplantae; Streptophyta; Magnoliopsida; Poales; Poaceae.
UUGGUUCUCAAUGUUAUCAGCGCGUAUGCCCCGCAAGUAGGCCACAAUGAGAACACCAAGAGGGAGUUCUGGGAAGGCCUGGAAGACAUGGUUAGGAGUGUACCGAUUGGUGAGAAGCUCUUCAUAGGAGGAGACCUCAAUGGCCACGUGGGUACAUCUAACACAGGUUUUGAAGGGGCGCAUGGGGGCUUUGGCUAUGGCAUCAGGAAUCAAGAAGGAGAAGAUGUCUUAAGCUUUGCUCUAGCCUACAACAUGAUUGUAGCCAACACCCUCUUUAGAAAGAGAGAAUCACAUCUGGUGACUUUUAGUAGUGGCCAACACUCUAGCCAGAUUGAUUUCAUCCUCUCGAGAAGGGAACACAGGCGUGCGUGCCUAGACUGUAAGGUGAUACCUGGAGAGAGUGUUGUACCCCAGCAUAAGCUGGUGGUUGCUGACUUCCGCUUUCGGAUUCGUGUCCAGCGGGAUAAGUGGGCUAAAGUCGCUAGAACGAAGUGGUGGAAGCUCAAGGGGGAGGUAGCUCAGGCGUUCAAGGAGAGGUUCAUUAAGGAGGGCCCUUGGGAGGAAGGAGGGGAUGCGGACAAUGUGUGGAUGAAG